AGAGUUUGAUCCUGGCUCAGACGCUACAAAUGCUUCGGAUCUGAGUAGAGUGGCGAACGGGUGAAUUCUACAUAUCUCUCCCAUACUCAAGCGGGGGAUAACGUCCAGUAUCAGACGCUAGUACCGCAUGACGUCCCAGGUUUAAAGACCUGGAAACCAAAGCCGGGGACCGCAAGGCCUGGCGCUUGAAGAGGACCGCACGUCUGACUAGCUAGUUGGCGGGGUAAUGGCCCACCAAGGCGACGAUCGGUAGCCGGGGUGAGAGGGCGGACGGCCACACUGGAACUGAGACNCGCCCUUUACGCCUACGGGAGGCAGCAGUGGGGAAAAGUUCACAAUGGGCGCAAGCCNAACAACGCUAUGCCACGUGGGGGAUGAAGGUGUCUGUAUUGUAAAGGGCGGCUGCAUGGCACAGAGUUAGCCGNGAGCUGCUCAUCCUUGGAGUAACGGUACCGUCAAAGGAAGCCACGAAUAACUCUGUGCCAGCAGCCGCGGUAAUACAGAGAUGGCAAGCGUUGUUCGGAAUUACUGGGCGUAAAGGGCGCGUAGGCGGCCAUCUAAGUCAGACGUGAAAUUAUUCGGCUUAACCCGGGUCUUUCGUCCCAUUCUGGACGGCUUGAGUAUGGGACAGGGGUUUACAAUCCGAGGUGUAGCGGUGAAAUGCGUAGACCUUUGGGUAGCGGUGAAAUGCGUAGA
Molecule: ribosomal RNA, 696 nt
Filed under: uncultured bacterium
Lineage: Bacteria
Description: bacterial SSU rRNA
Rfam family: Bacterial small subunit ribosomal RNA
Source: RNAcentral